This 752-nucleotide ribosomal RNA is filed under the name uncultured euryarchaeote. Its description in RNAcentral is "bacterial SSU rRNA". It matches the Rfam family "Archaeal small subunit ribosomal RNA", at positions 114 to 871 of the family's 1478-position model. The record is from RNAcentral. Lineage: Archaea; Methanobacteriati; Methanobacteriota.
CUCAGGUGAGGAAUAAUCCCGGGAAACUGGGGCUAUUACUUCAUAGAAGACGGGUGCUGAAAUGUUCUGUCUCUAAAAGGCCCGCCGCCUGAGGAUGAUUCUGCGUCCAAUUAGGUAGUUGUUGGGGUAACGGCCCAACAAGCCUUUGAUCGGUACGGUUUGUGGGAGCAAGAGCCCGAAAAUGGAUUCUAAGACAUGAAUCCCGCCCUUACGGGGCGCAGCAGGCGCAAAAAUUUUACAAUGCGAGCAAUCGUGAUAAGGAAACCCUGAGUGCCUGUCAAUGCAGGCUGUUCUGGUGUCUAACACACACCAAAAAAAAGGGGGGGGCAAGACCGGUGCCAGCCGCCGCGGUAAUACCGGCUGCUCGAGUGAUAGCCAUUUUUACUGGGCUUAAAGCGUUCGUAGCUUGGUCGUUAAUUCUCUGGGAAAUUUUUUUGGCUCAACCAAAAGGCGUCUCAGGAAAACUGGCGACCUAGGAACCGGAAAAGGUAAGACGUACUUCGGGGGUAGGAGUGAAAUCUUGUAAUCCCGGAGGGACGACCGAUGGCGAAGGCUUCUUACCAGAACGGCUUCAACAGUGAGGAACAAAAGCUGGGGGAGCAAACCGGAUUAAAUACCCGGUUAGUCCUAGGUGUAAACGCUGUGAACUUGUUGUCGGGAAUCCGUAAGGGGUCCCCGGUGCCGGAUUGAAGAUGUUAAGUUCACUGCCUGGGGAGUACGGUCGCAAGGCUGAAACUCAAAGGAAUUGACGG